RNAcentral lists this ribosomal RNA (301 nucleotides) under uncultured bacterium. RNAcentral's name for it is "partial 16S ribosomal RNA". It matches the Rfam family "Bacterial small subunit ribosomal RNA", at positions 509 to 807 of the family's 1533-position model. The record is from RNAcentral.
CAGUCGCCGCGGGAAUACGAAGGGGGCUAGCGUUGCUCGGAAUUACUGGGCGUAAAGGGAGCGUAGGCGGACAUUUAAGUCAGGGGUGAAAUCCCGGGGCUCAACCUCGGAAUUGCCUUUGAUACUGGGUGUCUUGAGUAUGAGAGAGGUAUGUGGAACUCCGAGUGUAGAGGUGAAAUUCGUAGAUAUUCGGAAGAACACCAGUGGCGAAGGCGACAUACUGGCUCAUUACUGACGCUGAGGCUCGAAAGCGUGGGGAGCAAACAGGAUUAGAUACCCCAGUAGUCCCUGUCUCUUAUAC